UACAGGGGGUGCAAACGUUGCUCGGAAUCACUGGGCGUAAAGCGCACGUAGGCGGUUCGUUAUGUCGGAUGUGAAAGCCCUUGGCUUAACCGAGGAAGUGCAUCCGAAACUGGCGAGCUAGAGUACUAAAGAGGAUCGCGGAAUUCCCGGUGUAGAGGUGAAAUUCGUAGAUAUCGGGAGGAACACCGGUGGCGAAGGCGGCGAUCUGGGUAGAUACUGACGCUGAGGUGCGAAAGCGUGGGGAGCAAACAGG
RNAcentral lists this ribosomal RNA (253 nucleotides) under uncultured bacterium. RNAcentral describes it as "partial 16S ribosomal RNA". It matches the Rfam family "Bacterial small subunit ribosomal RNA", at positions 524 to 776 of the family's 1533-position model. The record is from RNAcentral.